RNAcentral lists this ribosomal RNA (1326 nucleotides) under metagenome. RNAcentral describes it as "SSU rRNA". It matches the Rfam family "Eukaryotic small subunit ribosomal RNA", at positions 528 to 1780 of the family's 1831-position model. The record is from RNAcentral.
AAUCCCUUAGCGAGGAUCCAUUGGAGGGCAAGUCUGGUGCCAGCAGCCGCGGUAAUUCCAGCUCCAAUAGCGUAUACUAAAAUUGUUGCAGUUAAAAAGCUCGUAGUUGGAUUUCUGGUAAGGAGAGACUAUUGAGCCAGUAUAGUUGGUGUGAGAUAGGCAACUAUUUCAUGUUGGUUAUAUGUGGGUUCAAUAUUGGUUUCUCUGCCAUCAUUCGUGGAGAGUAAUUUGGCUCUUAACUGAGUUGGAUUACGAUCCCGAUCAAUUACUUUGAAAAAAUUAGAGUGUUCAAAGCAGGCGAUAUGCAGUUGAAUACAUUAGCAUGGAAUAAUGAGAAAGGACUUUGAUCCUAAUCAUUGGUUGUCAGGAUUGAAGCCACGAUUGAUAGGGAUGGUUGGGGGUGUCGGUACUCAACGGCCAGAGGCGAAAUUCUAUGAUUCGUUGAAGACCAACAAAUGCGAAAGCACCCACCAUGGGCAUUCCCUUUAAUCAAGAACGAAAGUUGGGGGAUCGAAGACGAUCAGAUACCGUCGUAGUCUCAACCAUAAACGAUGCCAACUCGGGAUUGGUGGACGUUAGACUUAAAAAAUCAAGACUCCAUCAGCACCGUAUGAGAAAUUAAGAGUCUUUGGGUUCCGGGGGAAGUCCGAUCGCAAGGUUGAAACUUAAAGGAAUUGACGGAAGGACACCACCAGAAAUGGAGCCUGCGGCUUAAUAUGACCCAACACGGGAAAACUUACCAGGUCCAGACAUAGUGAGGAUUGACAGAUUGAAGAUCUUUCUUGAUUCUAUGGGUGGUGGUGCAUGGUCGUUCUUAGUUGGUGGAGUGAUUUGUCUGGUUAAUUCCGUUAACGAACGAGACCUCAGCCUGCUAAGUAGAUGGAUGAAAAGCUGAUUCGUUAGUUUUUCAUUUUAGGUAUGACAUUUCGGUGUUGUAUCUUCAUUUUCUUAGAGGGACUUUUGGUGUUUAGCCAAAGGAAGUUUGAGGCAAUAACAGGUCUGUGAUGCCCUUAGAUGUUCUGGGCUGCACGUGCGCUACACUGUUGUGUUCAGCGAGUUAAUCCAAAACCUUGAUCGAGAGGUCUGGGUAAUCUUUGAAAGCACAACGUGAUGGGGCUAGAUUAUUGUAAUUAUUAAUCUUCAACGAGGAACUCCUAGUAAGCGCAAGUCAUCAGCUUGCAUUGAUUACGUCCCUGCCCUUUGUACACACCGCCCGUCGCUCCUACCGAUUGAAUGAUCCGGUGAAAUGCUCGAACCAAGACGCUAAUAGCGGGCUUGCUCGUUAUGGUGCUUUGGGAAGUUCAGUAAACCUUAUCAUUUAGAGGA